RNAcentral lists this ribosomal RNA (583 nucleotides) under uncultured bacterium. Its description in RNAcentral is "partial 16S ribosomal RNA". It matches the Rfam family "Bacterial small subunit ribosomal RNA", at positions 355 to 937 of the family's 1533-position model. The record is from RNAcentral.
UGGGGAAUUUUGGACAAUGGGCGAAAGCCUGAUCCAGCAAUGCCGCGUGUGUGAAGAAGGCCUUCGGGUUGUAAAGCACUUUUGUCCGGAAAGAAAUCCUUGGCUCUAAUACAGUCGGGGGAUGACGGUACCGGAAGAAUAAGCACCGGCUAACUACGUGCCAGCAGCCGCGGUAAUACGUAGGGUGCAAGCGUUAAUCGGAAUUACUGGGCGUAAAGCGUGCGCAGGCGGUUUGCUAAGACCGAUGUGAAAUCCCCGGGCUCAACCUGGGAACUGCAUUGGUGACUGGCAGGCUAGAGUAUGGCAGAGGGGGGUAGAAUUCCACGUGUAGCAGUGAAAUGCGUAGAGAUGUGGAGGAAUACCGAUGGCGAAGGCAGCCCCCUGGGCCAAUACUGACGCUCAUGCACGAAAGCGUGGGGAGCAAACAGGAUUAGAUACCCUGGUAGUCCACGCCCUAAACGAUGUCAACUAGUUGUUGGGGAUUCAUUCCUUAGUAACGUAGCUAACGCGUGAAGUUGACCGCCUGGGGAGUACGGUCGCAAGAUUAAAACUCAAAGGAAUUGACGGGGUCAUAGCUGUUUCC